Molecule: small RNA, 578 nt
Filed under: Pongo abelii (Sumatran orangutan)
Lineage: Eukaryota; Metazoa; Chordata; Mammalia; Primates; Hominidae
Description: retained intron
Source: RNAcentral
AACCAUCGCGGCUCCAACAUGGCUCCGCGGCUGUGCAGCAUCUCUGUGGCGGCGCGGCGGCUGCUGGGGGGCCCGGGGCCCCGCGCUGGGGACGUUGCGGCUGCAGCUGCGGCGCGUUUCUAUUCUAAGGACAAUGAAGGCAGCUGGUUCCGCUCCCUCUUUGUUCACAAGGUGGAUCCCCGGAAGGAUGCCCACUCCACCCUGCUGUCCAAGAAGGAAACCAGCAACCUCUAUAAGAUCCAGUUUCACAAUGUAAAGCCUGAAUACCUGGACGCCUACAACAGCCUCACGUGAGCAUCCUGCAUCCAUACAUCCCAGCCCCUCCUUGGGUGGGGAACAUACUUUCAGCAAAUUUGCAGAACAUCCUCUACCCUGUUCUUUUUUGUAGAAAUCCAGGAGAUGUAGAUUUCUUUUAUUUCUGCCUUUUUCUUCCUUUCUUUUUUUUUUUUUUUUUGAGAUGGAGUUUCGCUCUCGUUGCCCAGGCUGGAGUGCAAUGGCACGAUCUCAGCUCACUGCAACCUCUGCCUCCCAGGUACAAGCGAUUCUCCUGUCUCAGCCUCCCAAGUAACUCGGAUUAC